UGGACAGCACUUUGUUCCUGGCUUUUGAUGCAUCCAGUUUUUUUUUCACGUCUUCAUGAUCUUUCUGAAGAGCGCUAUGUUCCCCGGUGAAUACAAGGACGUACAAGCAGCUCUGCAGAAUCCAGAACUCUGCACUGCCUUGCCCGUCGAAGUGACUCACCCUCUGUAAAUGUUAUGCUACUGCACGCCGCAGUCAGUGCUCACUUGGUGGCUGCACAAGAGGUCUGUGUGCUCAGGAAUCCAGAUGGUUCUAAGCAGAUGAACUGCGAAUCCGGAGGAGGUUUCUCUCCUGGGCUGACAAUUUCCGGGGAUCUGUAAAGGCCAACAUUUCCUCGUCGAUACUGUUCAUCGAUGCUCUGCUUUUGCUCUGACCCAACUGAUUCUCCAGCUCUCGAACCUAGGGGAAAGGAUGCAGAGACAUUCAGAGCUAAAGCAUGGCCUUCGCUGCGCAUGCAUCGCUACAGCUGAGGUCAGAGACAGCCCACUACACAUGAUCAAAUGGAGGAUCUGGCUUACGGCUUAGUGUCCUACCAUUUAUUUCUUGGUACUUGUACGUGUCUUUGACAACAAGAGGACUGAUGGCAUUUUACUUGUUCCCCAGAAAUAAUCAUUCCCUGACUGUGGGCACAUGGACAAGCAGAAGUUUACAAUGCACCCUCUUGAAAAGUCAUAAUUGUGAAAAACUAGGAACUUGAGCAAAUGCUCAGCAUUUUGCUUUCAGCUCUGAAUACCAUAAAGCUAAAGAAAAGGACCUGCGAUAGUAAUUCACCUUGCCUUGUAGCACAAGAAUCUGCUGGGCCCGUCCACGCCAGGUACCGGAGAAAGAAACCAUUCCAAAAAUGCCGGAACUGUCCUUACAGUGAAAUACGAACCUGUACUGCUGGUAGGGAGUAGCUGAUUGCUUGAUUUCUGAGUCACUGCCGCCAAGAGACUGGAUUUUUCCCAUGGCUGCCUGGAGCUGGAGAAGACCAAAGCAAACACCCAUUAGAGAGUACAUGCAGUGAACAAAGCAUAUUUCCAUGGCAGAUGAUUCAGCUAUAUUUUAAUGAGUAAACAGCAAGUGUAACACCACCCGCCUUGAUGGGCUAAAUGGAUUUUAUUUAUUCCAACAAAAAUGUCUUCAUCUACCGCUAAGUUUUCAAAUAAAUAUGCCCGCGGUUCUAUCUUUGCUGAGACAGGCUGGGUUAUUUUACUGUGAAAAGAAUAGCUAGCUUUUGGCUUGGAUUCGUGGGAUUAGUUGGCAAACCUCGAGGGAUGUUUCCAAUGGGACAACGUUCACAAAACAGGCAUCUAUGUUUUUGCCUCUAAACAUAGAUAAAGUCCAAUGAAGAUCAGGAUUUGACAUACUUUUAAGGCUCCCAUAUUUGACCCUGUUUAGCAAAACAUAGAUUUUGAAGUCCAAUCCCCCCAUUUCACAGAAAAAUCUUGCAGUGUACGCUGAAAGAUGUGCUAGCUCAAUGACUCCAAAGACAUUUUAAGAUGAAAACCUGCAGCUUCACCCCCUGGCUGAGGCUCUGGCAUCAUUCUGAAAUCCCUCUUCUGUAGCUUGGCUAGAGCUAAAGGGCUUAAUUCUGUUUUCAGUCUCUGAAAGCAGGUGAUAGUUGGCACCGUUCACUAAUUAUUCCUGCUUGCUGGAGUGCAGAACUCCUCUCAUCUAAUCUAAUUCCCUCCUGCCUACCGAGGGGAGAGCUAUGGACAACAAAUUGCAAGGGGAAACACAAUCAGAGUGCAAAAUGAAGGGGCGAAGUGAAAACUGUAUGAUCCCACCAGGAUUAGCUUAUUAUCUUGAUUAUCUGCUGGAUGAAUUGAGACCUGUGGGAAACCUUUUAGGAAGGGUGAUGUAGGCAGUAGGAUAGCCUACAGAACUGAGCAUUAGGUAGGAGAUGAGAAUCCCAGGUCUACCACUAAACUGCUGUGGGGUUCGGGUAAAUCACUCACCUCUCUGUGCUUUCACUUCCCUCCCACCCUUUGCUUGGCCCUCCUAUUUACACUGGAAGCUGUUACGCGUGUAGACUGCAUCCGACUGUGCACACGAGCAGAAUAUAGUAUAGUGGGGCCCUAAGCCCUGACUGGCACUUCUGUGAUGACGAUAAAUGUAGAGGUUGGGAUACAGACUGCCAGAUAACUGAGAAAAGAUCAUUACAACACUGCUGUUGUGAUUGCCAGGGACAAGCAGCUGCGUUCUCAGAUACAUAUUUGUAUUUCUGAUUAUUUCAUUUCUACCCAGGAAAACUUUUACAAUCUUUUCUCCAAUGCCGGAUGAAGGGUGUUUGUGCCUGAAAGCUUGCAAUUAAAGACUUUUUUUUUUUUUUGCAAAAAUCCUGUGGGUCUAAUAAAUCUCUACUACAACUCCC
Molecule: long non-coding RNA, 2354 nt
Organism: Alligator mississippiensis (American alligator)
Lineage: Eukaryota; Metazoa; Chordata; Crocodylia; Alligatoridae
Exons: 5
Source: RefSeq, a predicted model, not a curated record